This 298-nucleotide long non-coding RNA is filed under the name Numida meleagris (helmeted guineafowl). Its description in RNAcentral is "lncRNA (ENSNMEG00000010683.1)". The record is from RNAcentral. Lineage: Eukaryota; Metazoa; Chordata; Aves; Galliformes; Numididae.
CUGAAACUUCACCUUAGUAUCUCCUUUUCAGAAAUAGUGAAAAAUAGAAUCUCUUCUUACAGCAGUGCCUGACCUGAGCCUGUGUUUUGCUCCUCUGAUUUGACACAGUGGCAGGCGCUGGUGAUGAGACAUGGCAGACUUCUUCCAUCUGUGCCAAUUCAGCCUAAAUUUCUUGAGUUCUCUUCUGAAGGAGGCCUUGUGUGGUGAGAACUGUGAAUGUGGAGUGCUUAGAGAUGUAUCAGAUGCCUGUGAUGAUGUGCUGACACAGAUAAUCAUUGGACUUGGUGUGGUGGACUGA